Molecule: ribosomal RNA, 407 nt
Filed under: Pseudopaludicola falcipes (Hensel's swamp frog)
Lineage: Eukaryota; Metazoa; Chordata; Amphibia; Anura; Leptodactylidae
Description: partial 16S ribosomal RNA
Source: RNAcentral
ACCAAAAACAUUCUUGAAAAACAUAAGAGGUCCAGCCGCCAGUGAUUAUGUUCAACGGCCGCGGUAUCUACCGUGCGAAGGAGCAUGUUUUUAAAAGGAUGUUGAAGGCAUCCGAGGGUUAUACUGUCUCCUUUUUCUAAUCAUGAAACUAAUCUUCCCGUGAAGAAGCGGGAAUAAUUUUAUAAGACGAGAAGACCCUAUGGAGCUUUAAAUAAACAACAAAUAUCUACUUAUCUAAAUUAAGAAAACCAAAAUUAUCAGAUAUAUGAUUGCUAGUUUUAGGUUGGGGUGACCAUGGAGAACAAUACAACCCCCAUGUCGAAAUGAUUUUAAAAUUAGCUGCGAGUAACAACUCCAGCAUCAACACCUUGACGUCAAGGGACCCAAUUUUUAUCAAGAACCAAUUU